Molecule: ribosomal RNA, 549 nt
Filed under: uncultured bacterium
Lineage: Bacteria
Description: partial 16S ribosomal RNA
Rfam family: Bacterial small subunit ribosomal RNA
Source: RNAcentral
UGGGGAAUUUUGGACAAUGGGGGAAACCCUGAUCCAGCCAUCCCGCGUGUGCGAUGAAGGCCUUCGGGUUGUAAAGCACUUUUGGCAGGAAAGAAACGUCGCGGGUUAAUACCCCGCGAAACUGACGGUACCUGCAGAAUAAGCACCGGCUAACUACGUGCCAGCAGCCGCGGUAAUACGUAGGGUGCAAGCGUUAAUCGGAAUUACUGGGCGUAAAGCGUGCGCAGGCGGUUCGGAAAGAAAGAUGUGAAAUCCCAGAGCUUAACUUUGGAACUGCAUUUUUAACUACCGGGCUAGAGUGUGUCAGAGGGAGGUGGAAUUCCGCGUGUAGCAGUGAAAUGCGUAGAUAUGCGGAGGAACACCGAUGGCGAAGGCAGCCUCCUGGGAUAACACUGACGCUCAUGCACGAAAAGCGUGGGGAGCAAACAGGAUUAGAUACCCUGGUAGUCCACGCCCUAAACGAUGUCAACUAGCUGUUGGGGGCCUUCGGGCCUUGGUAGCGCAGCUAACGCGUGAAGUUGACCGCCUGGGGAGUACGGUCGCAAGAUU